Molecule: small nucleolar RNA, 88 nt
Filed under: Amborella trichopoda
Lineage: Eukaryota; Viridiplantae; Streptophyta; Magnoliopsida; Amborellales; Amborellaceae
Source: RNAcentral
GGAGGGCAAAUGAGGAAUCUAAUUAUCCAAUGGGUAAUUUGCAUCUGAAAUUUAUUGAUGUCAACACCUUGGAGAUCUGAUGCCUAUG